AAGGCCCUACAGUGUCACAAUGGAUCUCUGGUUCCAUGAGGUCUGGCAGUGCAGCAACGCUCUCCUUGGUUCCCAGUCUCUUUUAUGCAUCCCACUGUUAGACAAUAGAAGGACGCCUGGCAGAUGAAGGGGAGUGGGGGUGGAUAUCUUCUCAAGGAGGAAAUAAUAAAAAUUCCUCCUGUCUCCCUCUUCCAAGGCAGGUGCCACUUCAGAACAGGAUUUCUCAUUCCCAAGCCUUGGCUGGAUGGAGGAGGAGUCUGUGAGGAAGAGAAAGAUGGCCCGGGACACACAGGCAGACAAGGAGCUGAGGAUGGAGAUCAGGGAGGACAAAUCCUCACAACAGAAACUCAAGGAAGAGGCAGAUUUGAGCAGCUGCGCAGGGCAGAAAUCCAAGGCGGAGGAAAAGUC
Passer domesticus (house sparrow) is the source of this 408-nucleotide long non-coding RNA. RefSeq lists it as uncharacterized. The transcript has 3 exons. NCBI's taxonomy places the organism in Eukaryota, Metazoa, Chordata, Aves, Passeriformes, Passeridae. The record is from RefSeq and is a predicted model, not a curated record.